UACAGGGGGUGCAAACGUUGCUCGGAAUUAUUGGGCGUAAAGCGCACGUAGUCGGCUUUGCAAGUCGGGUGUGAAAUCCCCGGGCUCAACCUGGGAACUGCAUCCGAGACUGCAUUGCUAGAGUAUGGGAGAGGGAAGCGGAAUUUCUGGUGUAGCAGUGAAAUGCGUAGAUAUCAGAAGGAACAUCAGUGGCGAAGGCGGCUUCCUGGACCAAUACUGACGAUCAGGUGCGAAAGCGUGGGGAGCAAACAGG
RNAcentral lists this ribosomal RNA (253 nucleotides) under uncultured bacterium. Its description in RNAcentral is "partial 16S ribosomal RNA". It matches the Rfam family "Bacterial small subunit ribosomal RNA", at positions 524 to 776 of the family's 1533-position model. The record is from RNAcentral.